Molecule: ribosomal RNA, 445 nt
Filed under: uncultured bacterium
Lineage: Bacteria
Description: partial 16S ribosomal RNA
Rfam family: Bacterial small subunit ribosomal RNA
Source: RNAcentral
GACGAACGCUGGCGGCGGGCUUAACACAUGCAAGUCGAACGGGCUGGGCGCUUCGGUGCUCGAUGCUAGUGGCACACGGGUGAAUAACACGUGGAAAUAUGCCCUUUAGUACGGAAUAACCAAGGGAACCUGUGGCAAAUACCGUAAACGCCCUUCGGGGGAAAGAUUUAUCGCUAAAGGAUUAGCCCGCGUCUGAUGAUGUAGUUGGUGUGGUCAUGGCUCACGAGGACGACGAUCCGGAGCCGGUCUGAGGGGAUGAGCAGUCACACUGGGACUGAGACACGGCUCCGACUCGUACGGGAGGCAGCAGUGGGUAAUAUUGGAGAAUGGGGGCAACGCUGAUCCGGCGAGGGCGGGAGAGCGAAGAAGGGGUUCGGGUUCGAAAGCUCUAGCGACGGGGACGAUUAUGACGGUACCUGUAGAAGAAGCACCGGCAAACUUCGUG